AUAAGAAAUUAAGAGCGUAUGGUGAAUGCCUAGGCUCUCAGAGGCGAUGAAGGACGUGAUAAGCUGCGAUAAGUCUUGGGGAGGUGCAAAUAACCUUUAAUCCAAGAAUUUCCGAAUGGGGCAACCCACUUAGUUGAAGACUAAGUAUCCAGCAAUGGAGGCAAACGCAGGGAACUGAAACAUCUUAGUACCUGCAGGAGAAGAAAAUAAUAAUGAUUCCCUUAGUAGCGGCGAGCGAAAUGGGAAGAGCCCAAACCAUCUAUGUUUAGGCAUAGAUGGGGUUGUAGGACUCACACAACGGUAUAUAAAUUGAAGUGGAAUCAAUUGGAAAGUUGAGCCAUAGAGGGUGACAGCCCCUUACACGUAAGCUUUAUAUAUUAGUGAGUAUCCUGAGUAGUGCGGGACACGAGAAAUCCUGUAUGAAUCUGCCGGGACCAUCCGGUAAGGCUAAAUACUCCUGAGAGACCGAUAGUGAACCAGUACCGUGAGGGAAAGGUGAAAAGAACCCUGAAUAAGGGAGUGAAAAAGAUCCUGAAACCAUACGCUUACAAGCGGUCGGAGCCCGUAAGGGGUGACGGCGUGCCUUUUGCAUAAUGAGCCUACGAGUUACUUUUACUAGCAAGGUUAAGCACUUCAGGUGCGGAUCCGUAGCGAAAGCGAGUCUGAAUAGGGCGACCAUAGUUAGUAGUAGUAGACGCGAAACCGUGUGAUCUACCCAUGGGCAGGUUGAAGCUUUGUUAACCCAAAGUGGAGGACCGAACCCGUUGACGUUGAAAAGUCUUGGGAUGACCUGUGGGUAGGGGUGAAAGGCCAAUCAAACUCGGAAAUAGCUCGUACUCCCCGAAAUGCAUUUAGGUGCAGCGUUGAUUUAUAGUUUUAUAGAGGUAGAGCUACUGAUUGGAUGCGGGGGCUUCACCGCCUACCAAUUCCUGACAAACUCCGAAUGCUAUAAAAUGUUACUCAGCAGUGAGGGCAUGGGUGCUAAGGUCCAUGUCCGAGAGGGAAAGAACCCAGACCAUCAGCUAAGGUCCCAAAAUAUAUGUUAAGUUGAAUAAACGAGGUGAAACUGCUUAGACAGCUAGGAUGUUGGCUUGGAAGCAGCCAUUCAUUUAAAGAGUGCGUAACAGCUCACUAGUCGAGCGGUUUUGCAUGGAUAAUAAUCGGGCAUAAACAUAUUACCGAAGCUAUGGAUUUGUAUUAUAUACAAGUGGUAGGGGAGCAUUGUAACCUGCGUAGAAGGUGUGCUGUAAGGCAUGCUGGAGUGGUUACAAAAGAAAAUGUAGGCAUAAGUAACGAUAAAGGGGGCGAGAAACCCCCUCACCGAAAGACUAAGGUUUCCUCAGCGAUGCUAAUCAGCUGAGGGUUAGUCGGGUCCUAAGGCGAAUCCGAAGGGAGUAGUCGAUGGAUAACAGGUUAAUAUUCCUGUACUUCUUAUAAUUGCGAUGGGGUGACGGAGUAUUGAAAGCACCGCGAACUGACGGAAUAGUUCGUUAAAGUAUGUAGCUAUAGAACCAGAUUAAGAGUUAGGUUUUGGCAAAGUACGAUAGUACCACAAAGCUUCGGCAGCGUGGAUAGUGUGCCUAAAAGCUUCCAAGAAAAACCUCUAAGCUUCAGAUUAUAAGAACCCGUACCGUAAACCGACACAGGUAGUUGGGAUGAGAAUUCUAAGGUGCUCGAGAGAUUCAUGGCUAAGGAACUAGGCAAAAUAGACCCGUAACUUCGGGAGAAGGGUCGCCACGCUUUACGGCGUGGCCGCAGUGAAAAGGUCCAGGCGACUGUUUAUCAAAAACACAGGGCUUUGCUAAAUUGAAAGAUGAUGUAUAAGGCCUGACACCUGCCCGGUGCUGGAAGGUUAAGUGGAGGGUUUAGCUUCGGCGAAGAUCUGAAAUGAAGCCCCAGUAAACGGCGGCCGUAACUAUAACGGUCCUAAGGUAGCGAAAUUCCUUGUCGGGUAAGUUCC
Molecule: ribosomal RNA, 1960 nt
Filed under: marine metagenome
Description: bacterial LSU rRNA
Rfam family: Bacterial large subunit ribosomal RNA
Source: RNAcentral